Molecule: ribosomal RNA, 653 nt
Filed under: Tuber puberulum
Lineage: Eukaryota; Fungi; Ascomycota; Pezizomycetes; Pezizales; Tuberaceae
Description: eukaryotic LSU rRNA
Rfam family: Eukaryotic large subunit ribosomal RNA
Source: RNAcentral
UGACCUCGGAUCAGGUAGGGAUACCCGCUGAACUUAAGCAUAUCAAUAAGCGGAGGAAAAGAAACCAACAGGGAUUGCCUUAGUAACGGCGAGUGAAGCGGCAAAAGCUCAAAUUUGAAAUCUGGCACCUUUGGUGUCCGAAUUGUACUUUGGAGAGGCAUCUUCUGGAGGGGCCCGGCCUAUGUGCCUUGGAACAGGACGUCAUAGAGGGUGAGAAUCCCGUCCUUGGCUGGAUGUUCCCUCCUGUAAGUAGUGUCUUCUACGAGUCGAGUUGUUUGGGAAUGCAGCUCAAAAUGGGUGGUAAAUUUCAUCUAAAGCUAAAUAUUGGCGAGAGACCGAUAGCGCACAAGUAGAGUGAUCGAAAGAUGAAAAGCACUUUGAAAAUAGAGUCAAAAAGUACGUGAAAUUGUUGAAAGGGAAGCGCUUGAGACCAGAGUCAGCCUUUGGCAAACAACUAUCCUUCUGGAUGGUGCACUUGUCAUUGGUUUGGGCCAGCAUCGGUUGGGACGGCAGGAUAAAGGCCCAGGGAAUGUGACUCCUUUAUGGAGUGUUAUAGCCCCAGGCGGCAUGCUGUCAGCCCCGACCGUGGACCGCGCCUCGGCUCGGAUGCUGGCUUAAUGGUCUUCAGCGACCCGUCUUGAAACACGGACCAA